AUUGAACGCUGGCGGCAGGCUUAACACAUGCAAGUCGAGCGAGCGGCGGACGGGUGAGUAAUGUCUGGGAAACUGCCUGAUGGAGGGGGAUAACUACUGGAAACGGUAGCUAAUACCGCAUACCAUCAGAUGUGCCCAGAUGGGAUUAGCUAGUAGUUGGGGUAAUGGCUCACCUAGGCGACGAUCCCUAGCUGGUCUGAGAGGAUGACCAGCCACACUGUAACUUAGAAACGGUCCAGACUCCUACGGUAGGCAGCAGUGGGGAAGAGUGACCAAUGGGCGCAAGCCUGAUGCAGCCAUGCGGCGUGUGUGAAGAAGGCCGUCGGGUGGUAAAGCACUUUCAGCGAGGAGGCGUUACUCGCAGAAGAAGCACCGGCUAACUCCGUGCCAGCAGCCGCGGUAAUUC
RNAcentral lists this ribosomal RNA (406 nucleotides) under uncultured bacterium. RNAcentral describes it as "partial 16S ribosomal RNA". It matches the Rfam family "Bacterial small subunit ribosomal RNA", at positions 30 to 526 of the family's 1533-position model. The record is from RNAcentral.